This 497-nucleotide ribosomal RNA is filed under the name uncultured bacterium. RNAcentral's name for it is "partial 16S ribosomal RNA". It matches the Rfam family "Bacterial small subunit ribosomal RNA", at positions 28 to 507 of the family's 1533-position model. The record is from RNAcentral.
GAUGAACGCUGGCGGCGUGCCUAAUACAUGCAAGUCGAGCGAACAGAUGAGGAGCUUGCUCCUCUGACGUUAGCGGCGGACGGGUGAGUAACACGUGGAUAACCUACCUAUAAGACUGGGAUAACUUCGGGAAACCGGAGCUAAUACCGGAUAAUAUAUUGAACCGCAUGGUUCAAUAGUGAAAGACGGUUUUGCUGUCACUUAUAGAUGGAUCCGCGCCGCAUUAGCUAGUUGGUAAGGUAACGGCUUACCAAGGCAACGAUGCGUAGCCGGCCUGAGAGGGUGAUCGGCCACACUGGAACUGAGACACGGUCCAGACUCCUACGGGAGGCAGCAGUAGGGAAUCUUCCGCAAUGGGCGAAAGCCUGACGGAGCAACGCCGCGUGAGUGAUGAAGGUCUUCGGAUCGUAAAACUCUGUUAUUAGGGAAGAACAAAUGUGUAAGUAACUAUGCACGUCUUGACGGUACCUAACCAGAAAGCCACGGCUAACUACGUG